RNAcentral lists this ribosomal RNA (507 nucleotides) under Saccharomycetales sp. IS. RNAcentral describes it as "LSU rRNA". It matches the Rfam family "Eukaryotic large subunit ribosomal RNA", at positions 90 to 592 of the family's 3401-position model. The record is from RNAcentral. Lineage: Eukaryota; Fungi; Ascomycota; Saccharomycetes; Saccharomycetales.
CGAGUGAAGCGGCAAUAGCUCAAAUUUGAAAUCUGGCACCUUCGGUGUCCGAGUUGUAAUUUGAAGAAGGUAUCUUUGGUUUUGGCUCUUGUCUAUGUUUCUUGGAACAGGACGUCACAGAGGGUGAGAAUCCCGUGCGAUAAGAUGCCCAAUUCCAUGUAAAGUUCCUUCGACGAGUCGAGUUGUUUGGGAAUGCAGCUCUAAGUGGGUGGUAAAUUCCAUCUAAAGCUAAAUAUUGGCGAGAGACCGAUAGCGAACAAGUACUGUGAAGGAAAGAUGAAAAGAACUUUGAAAAGAGAGUGAAAAAGUACGUGAAAUUGUUGAAAGGGAAGGGCUUGAGGUCAGACUUGGUUUACCAGGCCAGCAUCAGUUUGGAUGGCAGGAUAAUAGCUAAGAAAAGUGGCACAGCUUCGGUUGUGUGUUAUAGUCUUGGUUGAUACUGCCUGUCUAGACUGAGGACUGCGUCUUUGACUAGGCCGUCUUGAAGAACAAACCAUCAACAUUAUU